RNAcentral lists this ribosomal RNA (1729 nucleotides) under Pseudomonas fulva. Its description in RNAcentral is "partial 23S ribosomal RNA". It matches the Rfam family "Bacterial large subunit ribosomal RNA", at positions 1216 to 2925 of the family's 2925-position model. The record is from RNAcentral. Lineage: Bacteria; Pseudomonadati; Pseudomonadota; Gammaproteobacteria; Pseudomonadales; Pseudomonadaceae.
UAUGAUGAUGCGGUAGAGGAGCGUUCUGUAAGCCUGUGAAGGUGAGUUGAGAAGCUUGCUGGAGGUAUCAGAAGUGCGAAUGCUGACAUGAGUAACGACAAUGCGAGUGAAAAACUCGCACGCCGAAAGACCAAGGUUUCCUGCGCAACGUUAAUCGACGCAGGGUUAGUCGGUCCCUAAGGCGAGGCUGAAAAGCGUAGUCGAUGGAAAACAGGUUAAUAUUCCUGUACUUCCAGUUAUUGCGAUGGAGGGACGGAGAAGGUUAGGCCAGCCUGGCGUUGGUUGUCCAGGUUUAAGGUGGUAGGCUGAAAUCUUAGGCAAAUCCGGGAUUUCAAGGCCGAGAGCUGAUGACGAGUUGCCUUUAGGCGAUGAAGUGGUUGAUACCAUGCUUCCAAGAAAAGCUCCUAAGCUUCAGAUAACUGGGAACCGUACCCCAAACCGACACAGGUGGUUAGGUAGAGAAUACCAAGGCGCUUGAGAGAACUCGGGUGAAGGAACUAGGCAAAAUGGCACCGUAACUUCGGGAGAAGGUGCGCCGGCGAAGGUGAAGGGCUUGCCCCGUAAGCUUUUGCUGGUCGAAGAUACCAGGCCGCUGCGACUGUUUAUUAAAAACACAGCACUCUGCAAACACGAAAGUGGACGUAUAGGGUGUGACGCCUGCCCGGUGCCGGAAGGUUAAUUGAUGGGGUUAGCGCAAGCGAAGCUCUUGAUCGAAGCCCCGGUAAACGGCGGCCGUAACUAUAACGGUCCUAAGGUAGCGAAAUUCCUUGUCGGGUAAGUUCCGACCUGCACGAAUGGCGUAACGAUGGCGGCGCUGUCUCCACCCGAGACUCAGUGAAAUUGAAAUCGCUGUGAAGAUGCAGUGUAUCCGCGGCUAGACGGAAAGACCCCGUGAACCUUUACUAUAGCUUUGCACUGGACUUUGAAUUUGCUUGUGUAGGAUAGGUGGGAGGCUUUGAAGUGGGGACGCCAGUUCUCAUGGAGCCAUCCUUGAAAUACCACCCUGGCAACUUUGAGGUUCUAACUCAGGUCCGUUAUCCGGAUCGAGGACAGUGUAUGGUGGGUAGUUUGACUGGGGCGGUCUCCUCCCAAAGAGUAACGGAGGAGUACGAAGGUGCGCUCAGACCGGUCGGAAAUCGGUCGUAGAGUAUAAAGGCAAAAGCGCGCUUGACUGCGAGACACACACGUCGAGCAGGUACGAAAGUAGGUCUUAGUGAUCCGGUGGUUCUGUAUGGAAGGGCCAUCGCUCAACGGAUAAAAGGUACUCCGGGGAUAACAGGCUGAUACCGCCCAAGAGUUCAUAUCGACGGCGGUGUUUGGCACCUCGAUGUCGGCUCAUCACAUCCUGGGGCUGAAGCCGGUCCCAAGGGUAUGGCUGUUCGCCAUUUAAAGUGGUACGCGAGCUGGGUUUAGAACGUCGUGAGACAGUUCGGUCCCUAUCUGCCGUGGACGUUUGAGAUUUGAGAGGGGCUGCUCCUAGUACGAGAGGACCGGAGUGGACGAACCUCUGGUGUUCCGGUUGUCACGCCAGUGGCAUUGCCGGGUAGCUAUGUUCGGAAGAGAUAACCGCUGAAAGCAUCUAAGCGGGAAACUUGCCUCAAGAUGAGAUCUCACUGGGAUCUUGAAUCCCCUAAAGGGCCGUCGAAGACUACGACGUUGAUAGGUUGGGUGUGUAAGCGCUGUGAGGCGUUGAGCUAACCAAUACUAAUUGCCCGUGAGGCUUGACCAU